UACAGAGGUCUCAAGCGUUGUUCGGAUUCAUUGGGCGUAAAGGGAGCGUAGGUGGCGGGGCAAGUCAGGUGUGAAAUCUCGGAGCUCAACUCCGAAACUGCACUUGAUACUGCCUUGCUAGAGUACUGGAGAGGAGAUUGGAAUUUACGGUGUAGCAGUGAAAUGCGUAGAUAUCGUAAGGAAGACCAGUGGCGAAGGCGAAUCUCUGGACAGUUACUGACACUGAGGCUCGAAGGCCAGGGGAG
RNAcentral lists this ribosomal RNA (245 nucleotides) under uncultured bacterium. RNAcentral describes it as "partial 16S ribosomal RNA". It matches the Rfam family "Bacterial small subunit ribosomal RNA", at positions 524 to 768 of the family's 1533-position model. The record is from RNAcentral.